CAGUGUACAGGUACUGGAGGUUUGCUAAACAAAAAGUUAAACAUGCAAUUGAAAGUAUGAAACAGCUUUACAAACUCAAAUUGCUGUAAGAUACAUUCACAUGUCAUUGGGACUAAUGUUUCAUAUGCUUAUAAAAUAUGCAGAUAAUAGGCUGGGAGAGGUUGCAGAGGAUAGGAUUAGAAUGAUCCUGAUAAACUGGAGAAUUGCUCUGAAACCAACAAGAUUAAAUUAAAUAAAGACAAAUACAAAGUACUGAACUUAAGAAGAAAAAAAAAAUCAAAUUCACAAUAUAAAGUGGGAAAUAACUGGCUAGGUAGCAGCACUGCAGAAAAGAAUUUAUGGGUUAUAGUGGGUCACAAUUUGAAGUUUAGUCAACAGCGUGAUGCUGUGGUGAAAAAGCUGUUGGGGGUAAUGAGAAGUAUCA
This is a long non-coding RNA of Dermochelys coriacea (leatherback sea turtle), 424 nucleotides long. RefSeq lists it as uncharacterized. NCBI's taxonomy places the organism in Eukaryota, Metazoa, Chordata, Testudines, Dermochelyidae. The record is from RefSeq and is a predicted model, not a curated record. The transcript has 3 exons.